This 2536-nucleotide long non-coding RNA is filed under the name Mus musculus (house mouse). RNAcentral describes it as "long non-coding RNA chr19:11818570-11821106". The record is from RNAcentral. Lineage: Eukaryota; Metazoa; Chordata; Mammalia; Rodentia; Muridae.
AGAGCACCCCUGCGGCCUGGGUUAGGGGAACUAGGAGAAGCCCCUCUCCCACGCCACUUAUCCUGAUGACCGAUCCCCGCAGCCCGGGGCCCGCCUGAUCCCCCAAGCGCCGCGGACUCACGGCCUUCAGCUGCUCCAGCCGGUCCUUCAUCCUGGCCCAGGUGAGGGCGGCGGGCGCCUUGUCUCAGGUGAGCGCGUCCCAAGUGAGCGGCCUGGAGCGGCGGCGGCUGCCGGCCGGGGCGAGAGAGCUGCUAGAGCGGGCGGAGGCGGGCGGCGGCCGCUCUCGAGGAGGAGCGUCCGAGGCCACCGAGGUCCGCCGCGCCGCCCCCUCCGGCCCCCGCCGGCGCCGCGCUCCAAAUCCGGCUACGAGACCGCGCCGGCUCAGGGCUCGCCCGCCCCUGGGCCCGCCCCAUACCUGGGCCGCUCCCCGAGCUCCUGCUUAAAGGGCCAGCGCGCUCCAGCGCCGGAAGCAUUCCGGGCACACCUUCCCAUGCCCCUCGAAAGGCAGAAACAAAAAAAAAAAAAAAAAAAGGCGGGGGUGGUCUGUCUGGCUUCGAUUCCGUAUUUUCCGCACUGUUCUUAUUGUUCGGCCCUCUGCGGACUCCUCAGGUUGAAGACAAGCUGGUUCCUGCUCCCUUUGAUGAGGGAAAACGUUCCGAUGAUGCUCAAGAGAUAUUCCGCCUUAAAGAAGGGACCUGUUGGGUAUAAAAUCUGUGCGGUUCGGGCUCAGAGACUUGUUCCCGUAGGGCGUAACUGCAGAUGAGAUGCCCUGGAUCGGGCUGCGGCGAGGAAUUUGGGGAUUAUGAUGCUAGUGGUUGUGGGGCCUCUCGAAGUCGUGUAGGCGGUCCAGUCACCUUUUACUAACAAUUUGAAUAACUUGAGGGAAUCUAGGAGAGUCCGUUUCCAUAGCUAUAUAAAUCAGAGGCUGCUUAGCAAUUUUCUGCUUAGCCUGUACGAGAAAAGAAGCAACUGACUUUUAACUACCGGGCAGAGUUGUAGGAUAAAGACGUUUGUUUGAUUUGGAAAACUUAAGCCCACCUCUCUCCUCCUUGCUGUCAAGAGCCCUGGGAUUUGAAGAAUUUUUAGAAAAGUGUGGUUCUUCUCACUGCCCUUCCUCUUCAACGGUGCCCCUAUUCCCUUCCCCUCCGUAUUUGAUUUGGGGAUAACAAAUGGCGUAUCGACCAGAGUAGUGGUCAACAAUUGGCGCUAGUGAAGACUUGGUCUCAAGUUCGAGAAGUAUCCUCGACUUUGUGUUCAAUCUUAAAGGCCAUAGAUACUUUCUAAUUAUAACCGGACUUUACCCUCUGCGAUGUGCACGCUCCUACUGACUUCCUCCGCUGCCAUAAAGGUAGUCAAGUAAGGCAGGGCUUGAGCUGUUAGAGCCAACUAUGCGGUAAUCAACUCUAAUCCUCUAUCUGACCUCCGGCUCCUGUCCUGACGCUGGCCCAGCGAGGACUGCGAAAGUUUCCACGCCCCCUGGUGGUCGUAACCCUACAGCUAGGGCUUGAACACCCCCACCCCAGCCCAGCAAACACUUGGAAAACCUUCCGCCACCGAGCUCAUUCUCUAGCAUCAGCCCUUAGGUUUUCUCCUUUCAGACAGAAUCUCCCUGAAUUGCCCAGGCAAGCUUUGAACUUGCCAUUCUCCUGUUUCAACCUCUCCAGUAAGAGGGGUUACAGUGAAAAACUCUCGAAGUGUGGACGUCUGAAAUCUGGACAGAAGUGAGGAAGGAGGAUGGAUUCAUUUUGAAGCAAGAACAAAGGAUUCCAGUUAAGACGCGAUUGAUUUUAGGCUGCAAAAAACGGCCCUGCAGUAAAGAACACUGACUGGAGGACCUGGGUUCAAUUCCCAGCAUCCACAUGGUGACACACAGUUCCAGGGGAUGCAACGCCCUCUUCUGGGCUCUGCAGAGGUUACACACAUGUGGUAUACAGACAUAAUGCAGGCAAAAACAUUCAUACAAGUAAAAAAAAAAUUUUUUUAAGUCCCAGCAAAUUAUUUUAAAGGAUAUAAUUGAUUUCAACAGGGAAAAAAUUGUGACUCUCAUGCAAAUAUAAAAUGAAUAUAUUUUAAUGUUUUAGCUUAUUAGUGAAGCAACCAGUAAGAGGUUAAACUCAUUCAGAUCCACAGACAAACAGCAGGAAGGCUGGCAUGAAUAGGUUACUUGAUGCAAAACUAGCUCUGGGGAUGGGAGAAGAAACCGUGCUUCUCCUGUACACUAAGUCCUUAUAAUCUCCAUGAAUAGAAGCACUCUGCUUACUACCGAUAUCUAAUUUACAUAGCUGGACAAUAGCUGUGAUACAAUGAAAGUCACAGACUAUUAUAGAAUCAGAAAGGUGCAUUAGAUAAGGCCACCAUAGGAUACAUAGCAUGGAACAGCUUUUUGUUAGUGGUCACUGGUCAUUUUAAUUUGCUCAGUUUUUCUGUAUACUCCCAAGGUAGUACCUUCCAUGACUGAAUGGUACCAGCUCUGUUAAAAAGUUAUUAUACAGAACAAGUUUUCUUCCCUAUUACUUCUUGCCUUAAUCCAGACACU